Molecule: RNA transcript, 618 nt
Organism: Haemorhous mexicanus (house finch)
Lineage: Eukaryota; Metazoa; Chordata; Aves; Passeriformes; Fringillidae
Gene name: molybdopterin synthase sulfur carrier subunit-like
Exons: 5
Source: RefSeq, a predicted model, not a curated record
AGCGGACCCGCGGUGCUCCCGGCCAGGCCGCAGGGGGCGGUCCAGGCCCCGCGCCUCUCGCCCCGGCGCAGGCGCCGCCGUGGGCCCGCGGCGGAGGGCAGCUCGCCCCGGGACGGCGGCUCCAUGCGCUGCCAGGUCUCGGUGCUGUAUUUCGCCAGGAGCGCAGAGCUGGCGGGGCUGCGCUGCGAGACCCUCUCGGUGCCACGGGAGAUCACCUCUCUGCAGCUCUGGGAGGAAAUCGUCAAGGUCCACCCCAGGCUUGCUCUCAUCCGGGAUCAAGUGGUAUUUGCUGUUCGGCAGGAGUACGUGCUUCUUGGAGAUCAGCUUCUGGUCCUGCACCCUGGAGACGAGGUUGCCAUCAUCCCACCAAUUAGUGGAGGCUGAACCUGCCCAGGUUCUGUUAGGUCUAAAGAUGUGAUUGCAAUUCUCUCCCUCCACCCCAAUACUCUUUUGAGAAAACCCAGCUUGUGUUUCUGUCUGUUUUUCUAUUGUGAUAUGGAAGAAAGCGAAGAUGUGCCAGAAGAUUUUAUCAAGCUCAAGUCUGAAAAGCUCUCUGUAGAUGAAGUGUCAGAGCUGGUUGUUUCACCAUACUGUGGGGCAGUGUCUCUGUUCAUUGGU